Long non-coding RNA from Aplysia californica (California sea hare), 482 nucleotides. RefSeq lists it as uncharacterized. The record is from RefSeq and is a predicted model, not a curated record. Lineage: Eukaryota; Metazoa; Mollusca; Gastropoda; Aplysiida; Aplysiidae. The transcript has 2 exons.
UUUCUCAGUUCUCGUCAGCGGGUUCAGCUUGCAACAUUCAUGUCGUUGUGUGCUCUCAUAACACCUUCUCGAAAGAUACCUCAGUGUUCUAAUGAACAUUCUAGAAAGUGUAAGAUUAAGAGGUGAAUAAAACCAGACUUUAAUUUCAAAGUGUAUCAAUGGAUAGAAUUAUAUCGAACGACAUUAUUCUCUUCAAAGUAGUGAGAUUACACAAGAUGAUUCUCUGGAAAUAUCUAUCGUGUUUGGAAAGAGAAGACCACCCCAGAAAUCUCCUGCGUUGAUAUCUCUCUGUCGAGGUAUUCUCAAUAGGUGCCUUUGUUGGACAAGUUGGACUGUGUCCUCACUCGCGAUGUGCCAAACAGCGGCUGGGAUUGCUCUGUUCCUCCAGGGCUACAGGACAGCUUGGUCCGAGGGUAGGGAAACAAAAUCGGCAGAAAUUUGUUCUAGACUUUUACAUGAAGAGAUGCAUUUCCAUCCAAUAA